Molecule: ribosomal RNA, 253 nt
Filed under: uncultured bacterium
Lineage: Bacteria
Description: partial 16S ribosomal RNA
Rfam family: Bacterial small subunit ribosomal RNA
Source: RNAcentral
GACGAACCGUGCAAACGUUAUUCGGAAUCACUGGGCAUAAAGGGCGCGUAGGCGGCUUCAUAAGUCAGGGGUGAAAUCCGGCAGCUUAACUGUCGCAGUGCCUUUGAUACUGUGGAGCUCGAGGGAGGUAGGGGUCUGUGGAACUUCCGGUGGAGCGGUGAAAUGCGUUGAUAUCGGAAGGAACGCCGGUGGCGAAAGCGACGGACUGGAUCUCUUCUGACGCUGAGGCGCGAAAGCGUGGGGAGCGAACAGG